GACGAACGCUGGCGGCGUGCUUAACACAUGCAAGUCGAACGGAAAGGCCCUGCUUUUGUGGGGUGCUCGAGUGGCGAACGGGUGAGUAACACGUGAGUAACCUGCCCUUGACUUUGGGAUAACUUCAGGAAACUGGGGCUAAUACCGGAUAGGAGCUCCUGCUGCAUGGUGGGGGUUGGAAAAUUUCGGCGGUUGGGGAUGGACUCGCGGCUUAUCAGCUUGUUGGUGGGGUAGUGGCUUACCAAGGCUUUGACGGGUAGCCGGCCUGGGAGGGUGACCGGCCACAUUGGGACUGAGAUACGGCCCAGACUCCUACGGGAGGCAGCAGUGGGGAAUAUUGCACAAUGGGCGGAAGCCUGAUGCAGCAACGCCGCGUGCGGGAUGACGGCCUUCGGGUUGUAAACCGCUUUCGCCUGUGACGAAGCGUGAGUGACGGUAAUGGGUAAAGAAGCACCGGCUAACUACGUG
This 468-nucleotide ribosomal RNA is filed under the name uncultured bacterium. RNAcentral describes it as "partial 16S ribosomal RNA". It matches the Rfam family "Bacterial small subunit ribosomal RNA", at positions 28 to 507 of the family's 1533-position model. The record is from RNAcentral.